CACAGAAGAAGAAUAAGCCCAUAUGCCUGAUCUUCUCUAUAUCACAGAAUAUAGACAUCAAGGAGUGCUGAUAAGACACUAAAACAGGCAGUCAUGUCAAUCCAGACAGGAGCUGUUGGUGCGUGACCAGGAAGAACUCUGGAGGCAAUGCUGACUGAAGCAGGCAAGCUGUGUGGAUUCAGCUUGUCUGAAGCCAGAGUUCUGUCAAUGUCCAAACCACAGCAAAAAA
Poeciliopsis prolifica (blackstripe livebearer) is the source of this 229-nucleotide long non-coding RNA. RefSeq lists it as uncharacterized. The transcript is spliced from 3 exons. Lineage: Eukaryota; Metazoa; Chordata; Actinopteri; Cyprinodontiformes; Poeciliidae. The record is from RefSeq and is a predicted model, not a curated record.